CCACCCGAGCAUGCUCACUCCUCCUUGAGUCACAGGGUGGCGGUCCCCUCCACCCCACCCCGGACCUCUGGGUUCCGGCAAAGCUUGAGUUCUCAACCACCACAUCCUCCCCUUCCCCUCCCAGGGCGCGCUCCUCGGCACCCACUGGAGCACUCAGCAGCCGCGCCUCCCCUCCCCACCCCGCCUCCUCCUCCUCUCCCUCCACUCCUGGCUGUGGCCGGAGAGGACACGUCAGGGAGCAUAAAUAAAUAAAUAAUUCCAUUCACCCAGCGGCAGCGAGGCAAAUCGGCUACGGCUAGGAAGGAACGGAGGGCUGCAGGGCCCACCCGGUGCCGGAGACCAGCUCUAGUGAAGAUAGCCUUCUAUACAUCACAUGAUAUGGGCUGAGCAGAUCAGAAGUGCUGGGCACUGAGGUUGUAUGAUAUUGUUAACUCUGAGCUGGUGGCUAUAAAGACAUGUGCAAAUGGAUGCAGCUGCCAGGCUAAGGGAAGAGUGAAGCAUAUGCUCAAAACCAGCAAUUAUUAUGAUGUUUUUACAAUGAUUUGCAUUUAUUGAGUGCCCAUUGUCUCAGGCAGUAUUCUGAACACUUUACAUGUAUACAUGUGUUAUCUUGUUUAAUCCACAUACAUAAGAUAGGUACCAUUAUUUCUAGCUUACAAAAAUGAGAACUAAGGCUCUGAGAUAUUAAGUAACUCACCCAAGUUCACAAAGUUAAUAAAUAAUAAUACCUGAAAGUAGACACCCAGAUUCCACCUUGUAACACUUAAAUAAUACUCAGCAUCUGAAGUAUUCAGGACCCUACAGAGACAGGGAAGCUGCCUAACACCUUAGUUCUGCAGUUAAGUUCUAUGUUGAUACGUUGAUACUGAUUUUUUUCUCCCCCUUUCUUUAAGCUAUGUUGAGUGGAUUUUGAUUUUUUCCAACUAUAGACCUCUACUUAUGAAAAAGUUUUCAUUACUCAUGUUAUGGAUUAAUUGUUGGGAUUUCAUGUGCAAAGCAAAACAGAUCAACUUGGAAAUAUCUACAUAUAAACCCUUUUCUCUGAAAAAGUACAAAUAAUUCAUCUUGAAUUUGUAAUGAGCUAUGUUUAUGAACUACUGUAUAUGAAGACAGCACAACAUGGUCUGCAUGAGAUAAUAUUAAGGAGGCACACAUCAGCCAAAUGGUUCUGCCUGUGUGUGUAGAACACAGUUUUUGCCAUGUGAUGCUCACAAAAUUAUGACAUUUUUCUUGACAUUUUAUUAGCCUGGAAACUCAAUGACUAAGGCCCUUCUAA
This is a long non-coding RNA of Phyllostomus discolor (pale spear-nosed bat), 1276 nucleotides long. RefSeq lists it as uncharacterized. NCBI's taxonomy places the organism in Eukaryota, Metazoa, Chordata, Mammalia, Chiroptera, Phyllostomidae. The record is from RefSeq and is a predicted model, not a curated record. The transcript has 2 exons.